This 505-nucleotide ribosomal RNA is filed under the name uncultured bacterium. RNAcentral's name for it is "partial 16S ribosomal RNA". It matches the Rfam family "Bacterial small subunit ribosomal RNA", at positions 28 to 507 of the family's 1533-position model. The record is from RNAcentral.
GACGAACGCUGGCGGCGUGCCUAAUACAUGCAAGUAGAACGCACAGUUUAUACCGUAGCUUGCUACACCAUAAACUGUGAGUUGCGAACGGGUGAGUAACGCGUAGGUAACCUGCCUGGUAGCGGGGGAUAACUAUUGGAAACGAUAGCUAAUACCGCAUAAUAUUAAUUAUUGCAUGAUAAUUGAUUGAAAGAUGCAAUUGCAUCACUACCAGAUGGACCUGCGUUGUAUUAGCUAGUAGGUGAGGUAACGGCUCACCUAGGCGACGAUACAUAGCCGACCUGGGAGGGUGAUCGGCCACACUGGGACUGAGACACGGCCCAGACUCCUACGGGAGGCAGCAGUAGGGGAUCUUCGGCAAUGGACGAAAGUCUGACCGAGCAACGCCGCGUGAGUGAAGAAGGUUUUCGGAUCGUAAAGCUCUGUUGUAAGAGAAGAACGGGUGUGAGAGUGGAAAGUUCACACUGUGACGGUAUCUUACCAGAAAGGGACGGCUAACUACGUG